UCCUCGUUGGUCUAGUGGUCAUGAUUUCCGCUUGUCAAGCUGUACAGCUCCGCAAGCGCGGGAGACCUGGGUUCGAUUCCCAGACGGGGAG
This 91-nucleotide transfer RNA is filed under the name Sporormia fimetaria CBS 119925. It matches the Rfam family "tRNA". From Rfam's summary of the family: Transfer RNA (tRNA) molecules are approximately 80 nucleotides in length. Their secondary structure includes four short double-helical elements and three loops (D, anti-codon, and T loops). The record is from Rfam by way of RNAcentral. Lineage: Eukaryota; Fungi; Ascomycota; Dothideomycetes; Pleosporales; Sporormiaceae.